CAGGAUGAACGCUAGCUACAGGCUUAACACAUGCAAGUCGAGGGGCAGCAUUGGGAUAGCUGCUAUUCAGAUGGCGACCGGCGCACGGGUGAGUAACGCGUAUCCAACCUUCCUGCCAGUAGGGAACAGCCCGGCGAAAGUCGGAUUAAUGCCCUAUGUUCUUCAAUGCGGACAUCUAAGUUGAAGGAAAGAUUCAUCGCUGGCAGAUGGGGAUGCGUCCGAUUAGCUUGCCGGCGGGGUAACGGCCCACCGGGGCGACGAUCGGUAGGGGUUCUGAGAGGAAGGUCCCCCACACUGGUACUGAGACACGGACCAGACUCCUACGGGAGGCAGCAGUGAGGAAUAUUGGUCAAUGGGCGUAAGCCUGAACCAGCCAAGUAGCGUGCAGGAAUGACGGCCCUACGGGUUGUAAACUGCUUUUAUGCGGGGAUAAAGUGCGGCACGUGUGCCGCUUUGCAGGUACCGCAUGAAUAAGGACCGGCUAAUUCCGUGCCAGCAGCUGC
This 503-nucleotide ribosomal RNA is filed under the name uncultured bacterium. Its description in RNAcentral is "bacterial SSU rRNA". It matches the Rfam family "Bacterial small subunit ribosomal RNA", at positions 25 to 518 of the family's 1533-position model. The record is from RNAcentral.